GACGAACGCUGGCGGCGUGCCUAAUACAUGCAAGUAGAACGCACAGUUUAUACCGUAGCUUGCUACACCAUAAACUGUGAGUUGCGAACGGGUGAGUAACGCGUAGGUAACCUGCCUGGUAGCGGGGGAUAACUAUUGGAAACGAUAGCUAAUACCGCAUAAUAUUGAUUAUUGCAUGAUAAUUGAUUGAAAGAUGCUAUUGCAUCACUACCAGAUGGACCUGCGUUGUAUUAGCUAGUAGGUGAGGUAACGGCUCACCUAGGCGACGAUACAUAGCCGACCUGAGAGGGUGAUCGGCCAAACUGGGACUGAGACACGGCCCAGACUCCUACGGGAGGCAGCAGUAGGGAAUCUUCGGCAAUAGACGAAAGUCUGACCGAGCAACGCCGCGUGAGUGAAGAAGGUUUUCGGAUCGUAAAGCUCUGUUGUAAGAGAAGAACGGGUGUGAGAGUGGAAAGUUCACACUGUGACGGUAUCUUACCAGAAAGGGACGGCUAACUACGUG
This 505-nucleotide ribosomal RNA is filed under the name uncultured bacterium. RNAcentral describes it as "partial 16S ribosomal RNA". It matches the Rfam family "Bacterial small subunit ribosomal RNA", at positions 28 to 507 of the family's 1533-position model. The record is from RNAcentral.